GACGAACGCUGGCGGCGCGCUUAACACAUGCAAGUCGAACGGAAAGGCCCUGCUUUUGUGGGGUGCUCGAGUGGCGAACGGGUGAGUAACAUGUGAGUAACCUGCCCUUGACUUUGGGAUAACUUCAGGAAACUGGGGCUAAUACCGGAUAGGAGCUCCUGCUGCAUGGUGGGGGUUGGAAAGUUUCGGCGGUUGGGGAUGGACUCGCGGCUUAUCAGCCUGUUGGUGGGGUAGUGGCUUACCAAGGCUUUGACGGGUAGCCGGCCUGAGAGGGUGACCGGCCACAUUGGGACUGAGAUACGGCCCAGAAUCCUACGGGAGGCAGCAGUGGGGAAUAUUGCACAAUGGGCGGAAGCCUGAUGCAGCAACGCCGCGUGCGGGAUGACGGCCUUCGGGUUGUAACCCGCUUUCGCCUGUGACGAAGCGUGAGUGACGGUAAUGGGUAAAGAAGCACCGGCUAACUACGUG
RNAcentral lists this ribosomal RNA (468 nucleotides) under uncultured bacterium. Its description in RNAcentral is "partial 16S ribosomal RNA". It matches the Rfam family "Bacterial small subunit ribosomal RNA", at positions 28 to 507 of the family's 1533-position model. The record is from RNAcentral.